Molecule: long non-coding RNA, 3456 nt
Organism: Mirounga angustirostris (Northern elephant seal)
Lineage: Eukaryota; Metazoa; Chordata; Mammalia; Carnivora; Phocidae
Exons: 7
Source: RefSeq, a predicted model, not a curated record
UUAUUUUAUUCUGAUACAGUGUUUCCAGGACUUGGCUAAACAAUGGACUGGGCAUUGUUUCUUUAUUCAGAACACAGAAGGAAAUGGGAAAAGUUAGAUUAUCAGGUGCCUUGCUUCUUCUAAAAUCAUUCACCUUCAAGAAGGAGAUGAAGUCAAAUACUAACAGAGGAACUGUGGAACGAAGAGAGGAAUGAAACCUUUAGGUCCCUAAACCAGGAGAAGCUGUGGAGUGUUACCCCAUUGCCAGUGUGCCUGUCUUCCCCAUCUUCCAAUUCUGUUCCUCUCUCAAAGCACAGCUUAUGUCUCACCUGCUGCUUGGCAAUUUUUGGGAAUGGUCUGGAACCUCUUUAUCGGUGUACCUGUGUAGCCUUGAUCAUGUGAUCGUGCUCCAUCCUUCUGAAUCCAUUUGAACACUUGGAAUAUUUGCUUUGUUCUUGAAGUGGCAUAUACUAGAUGCUUGAAGAAAACAUUCACAGUGUUCUCCUGGCCAAGACCACCAAACAUCUACCUGUAGACUGCCUUUUGAUGUAUGGAGGGGGUUGCACUGAAUUUCAAGGGAGUGUCCUAAUUCUUUCCCUUAACUGGAAUCUCAUGGUAUCCAGGCUUGGAAGCACUGGUCUUGGAAGAGUGACAACUUGUUCGCUUGGGCCAACGCCCUAAACGCCACUGGCUCUUGGAAAAUCGGGAUUAGGCUAAGGGCCCAAGUGAAGAACGAAUCGUCUUAUUAGAACAAACCAGAACUGCUUUCUACAAGGCUGUGAAGGUGUUUUCAUUGGCAUGGAGGACGCUGAGGGACAGAGAGGACAUCUGUAGUCAAUAUCACACACUUCUUGUCAUCUGCAUGGCUUCAUAAGUUUGACUUCUUGGACUGUCUACUCAAAGUGCCCAGGUCAGUGCAGGUCUGGUGAUGUGUAUUACUGCUCCCUCCCUGCUGGGGAGGUAAUGACUACAAAAAAUUAAAAGAAAAUCAGGAACUGCGACGAGCACCAAAGGCAGUAAUGUAUUUGGAAGGACCCACCCUGUCCCGGUUUAGCUGUUUUCUGGCAGAUAGGAGUCUCGAAGCCUGGGAGACUCCAAACCCAGUGCUUCACGAGUCUGGGGCUGAGAUCUCUUUUCUGCCGUUCAUGACAUGGAGACACGCUUUCCUGAGCCCUGUUCCCAAAGCCACAGGAAGCCCCUGCCCAGCGAGGAGCCAAAGUGACCUCUACUCCGGGUUUCACUCCAGCAUCUGGGUGUUGGACGGAAAGCUUCCUGUCAUUAAAUGUUUGUGCAAAAGAAAAUGUCCAUUGACCAUGGAGUGUUGUAGAAGGGAUUCCUUCCCUGCAGAGGGAGUGACUUGUUGAAUCUACUCAUUUUGUAAUUUCAUAUUUUACCACAACAAUGAUUUUGCAAUUGAAGUGCUACAGUUUAUUCUCAGAUUUUGUAUUUAUGUAAUUCUAAAGAAAAGAAUGUAAAAUAAAUACUAGAUAGAUAGCUUUACAGUUUCUGCCCUUGACUUUUUGGGUACUGUCUUCCAGUGUGAGGAUUAUAUAGGUCUGAGGGGUCUCUGGAUAUAUCAUCAGCCAGUCUGGGAUUUGUUGUCACCUUUUCAAAAGCAUGCCAAAAAAAAAAAAAGAGAGAGAGAAAAUCUGAAGCUUUCCCUUUGGCUUUUUUCUGAUUGCACUGAUGAAAAGGUCAAGGAGAAAGAAGUCAGAGAAAUUAACUAAAAUGAGAUUUUAGUAAUAUUUUUAUUAAAACAUGCUAGUCCACUCCAUUAAUAUAGGUAAUGAAUAACUAGUUCUAGUAUAUAUCAAUAAUUGAUAAUUAGUGCAUAAAAUCUCUAAACAAAAUGAACUCACCUUAUAAAUAUGGCAUGAAUAUAAAUUUUAUUCUGUCUUAAUCUGCAUUUUGAGCCUCUUUCUCGGUGAAUCAAAGUAGUCUAGAAAUAGAUCGUAUCAUAAAAGAUCAUCUAGUAUAUAUAAAGAUGACAUCCCAAAUCACUUUGAGGAAUAUUCAAAAAAAUGACGUCAGGACAGUUGGUUAAUUAUUUGAAUAAAAAUCCUGCUAGAUUCUCAUGUAAUAUACAUAAAAUAGAUCAAGGUAGAUAAAAUAGCUAUACACUAAAAUAAAACUAUUAAGGAGCUGAAAGAAAAUACAGGUUCUUACUUGUUUGAUCUCAUGGAAAUAAGCUUUCUAAGGGAAAAAAAAAAGAAACCUCAAAGGGAAGAUUGUUACAUUUGACGACAUAAAGAACCUUUAGAACCUUUGUGUGUCUGUAAAAAAUAUUAAUUGACUUUUAAUAGCAGAAAGGCAUUUAAUAUUGGCAGCAUAUACAACAGACUAUGUUACCAUCAUUAUAUAAAAUACUCUUAUAAAUCAAAUACAAAAAAUAGGACAAUACCGAUAUAUUGAGUAAAGCUAUUAAACAGUUAACUGAAAAAAAAAAUGCACACAUGACUAAUAAACAUCACAAAUUCAAUCUUUACUCACCAGAGAAAUGCAAAAAAAAAAAAUUGGUGAUAUCAUUUUUCUCCUAUCAAAUUAUAAGAAAGUUAAAAAUUAUGAUGCUCUGUGUUGUGAGGCACUUUAUUCACAGCUGGUAGGGAUAUAAAUAAAUAUUGCUUUCUGGAGGAAUAUUUAGAAUAUAUAUUUUAAAAGCCUUAAAAAUUUGUGCUUUGAUCCAGAAAUUCUCUUUCUAAGAAUAUAUCCAAAGGAAAUAAUAAGCGAUGUAUACAAUGAUUUAGGCGCAAGUAUAUUCAUUGUGCACUGUGUCUUAUAAUAUUGGGAAAACAACAAAGAUUCAACAAUAGGAAAAUAAUUAAAUAAAAUGUGAUAGAUCGUAUCAUGGCCUAUUUAUUAUGCACUCUUUAGGAGUUGUGUUCCUAAGAAUAAUGACAAAAUGAAAUGCUAAUAAUACAUUCUUAAGUUAAAGAAAAAGCAGGAUACAAAACAAUGUGAUCUGAAUAUUAGAGGGGGUGGAAAGCACAGGAAAGCAAGAAAAAAGAACGUGUGUGUGUAUAAAUUAAGAAAAAACAAAAAUAACAACAGGAAUAAAAGAAACCAGAAGAUAACUAUAGGUUUUUUUUUUCUUCCAUGCUGAGGGAUAAUGGAUAUUUUUAAUAUUUUAAUUUAUACUUCUCCCAGUAUUUGAAAUUUUUAUUUUUAUAGGCAGAAAUAAAUCUCACAGUAAAUAUUUCUUUUUUGUUUGUUUGUUUUGUUUUUGUUAGGAGCACAUGGAAACAAAUUUUUAGGUGCUGUGGGCGAUAAGCUUUCCCAGGGUAGGGUAUUGCUAUCCCAUGACAAACAGGGCUUAUCUGUUCUUUCCAGUCAGGACACCAAGAGAGUUUCUGUUCAAAUACUUCUCCUAAACAAUACAUUCAACUUAGUGGUUUAUAAGGUCAAUAAAAGGGUUGGUUAAAAAAUGAACCAUGUGAAAACUGAAGCAUGGCCAGUGACUAGAGAAUGACUAUUCCACAA